This 406-nucleotide ribosomal RNA is filed under the name Echinococcus granulosus. Its description in RNAcentral is "partial 12S ribosomal RNA". The record is from RNAcentral. Lineage: Eukaryota; Metazoa; Platyhelminthes; Cestoda; Cyclophyllidea; Taeniidae.
ACGAUUGUUGGUUGGUUUUGCAAAAGCUGAUUAGGGUUAUUAUUUGUGCCCCGUGUUUUGUUUGUUUAAUUGUGGCAAUAGGAAGUUUUGUUUCAUUGACUGCAUGAAGUGUGUUUAUGAUUUGUGGGUUAUGUUUUCUGGUUAUUUUAUCAGCAGUUGGUUUUUUGUUAAGAUGGGAAUCUUAUAAGGGUGAUACAAUUUAAGGGGAUAGGUCACAGUGCCAGCAUCUGCGGUUAAUCUGUUUUCUUUGCUUUUGUGUGGAUUAUGCGUAUUUAUUUAUGUGCAAUGUUAGGUUAAAUUUUUUUGUGACAGUGUGUGGUAAAUAGGUUUUGUUAUGAUAUAUAUGAUGACAGGGAUUAGAUACCCCAUUAAUGUAUUUUGUAAAGUUGUUCUAGUUUUGUAACUA